GCCGGGCUAGCUCAAUUGGAAGAGCGUUCGCUUUACUCUACUUAGAUUGAAUGGUUGCAAGUUCGAACCUUGCGCUUGGCC
Molecule: non-coding RNA, 81 nt
Organism: Astrocystis sublimbata
Lineage: Eukaryota; Fungi; Ascomycota; Sordariomycetes; Xylariales; Xylariaceae
Source: the annotation of a GenBank genome assembly